This 77-nucleotide ribosomal RNA is filed under the name Photobacterium aphoticum. RNAcentral describes it as "partial 16S ribosomal RNA". It matches the Rfam family "Bacterial small subunit ribosomal RNA", at positions 1462 to 1533 of the family's 1533-position model. The record is from RNAcentral. Lineage: Bacteria; Pseudomonadati; Pseudomonadota; Gammaproteobacteria; Vibrionales; Vibrionaceae.
GUGUGGUUCAUGACUGGGGUGAAGUCGUAACAAGGUAGCCCUAGGGGAACCUGGGGCUGGAUCACCUCCUUAAACGA